This 253-nucleotide ribosomal RNA is filed under the name uncultured bacterium. Its description in RNAcentral is "partial 16S ribosomal RNA". It matches the Rfam family "Bacterial small subunit ribosomal RNA", at positions 524 to 776 of the family's 1533-position model. The record is from RNAcentral.
UACGUAGGGGGCAAGCGUUGUCCGGAAUCAUUGGGCGUAAAGAGCGUGUAGGCGGUUUGGUAAGUCGGCUGUGAAAGUCCAGGGCUCAACCCUGGGAUGCCGGUCGAUACUGCCGGACUAGAGUUCGGAAGAGGCGAGUGGAAUUCCCGGUGUAGCGGUGAAAUGCGCAGAUAUCGGGAGGAACACCUAUGGCGAAGGCAGCUCGCUGGGACGUUACUGACGCUGAGACGCGAAAGCGUGGGGAGCGAACAGG